This 497-nucleotide ribosomal RNA is filed under the name uncultured bacterium. Its description in RNAcentral is "partial 16S ribosomal RNA". It matches the Rfam family "Bacterial small subunit ribosomal RNA", at positions 28 to 507 of the family's 1533-position model. The record is from RNAcentral.
GAUGAACGCUGGCGGCGUGCCUAAUACAUGCAAGUCGAGCGACCAGACGAGGAGCUUGCUCCCCUGACGUUAGCGGCGGACGGGUGAGUAACACGUGGAUAACCUACCUAUAAGACUGGGAUAACUUCGGGAAACCGGAGCCAAUACUGGAUCAUAUAUUGAACCGCAUGGUUCAAUAGUGCAUGACGGCUUUGCUGUCACUUAUAGAUGGAUCCGCGUCGCAGUAGCUAGUUGGUAAGGUAACGGCUUACCAAGGCAACGAUGCGUAGCUGACCUGAGAGGAUGAUCAGCCACACUGGAACUGAGACACGGUCCAGACUCCUACGGGAGGCAGCAGUAGGGAAUCUUCCGCAAUGGGCGAAAGCCUGACGGAGCAACGCCGCGUGAGUGAUGAAGGUCUUCGGAUCGUAAAGCUCUGUUAUUAGGGAAGAACAAAUGUGUAAGUAACUAUGCACGUCUUGACGGUACCUAAUCAGAAAGCCACGGCUAACUACGUG